CGCAGCCGCGGUAAUUCCAGCUCCAAUAGCGUAUAUUAAAGUUGUUGCAGUUAAAAAGCUCGUAGUUGAAUUUCGGGGUUAGCAGGUCGGUCGUGCCAUCGGUAUGAACUGGUCUCGCUGAUCCCUCCCUCUUGACGAACUGUGAUGCCAUUAAUUUGGUGUCGCAGGGAAUCAGGACUGUUACUUUGAAAAAAUUAGAGUGUUUAAAGCAGGCUCACGCUUGAAUACAUUAGCAUGGAAUAAUGAAAUAGGACGUUUGAUCCUAUUUUGUUGGUUUCUAGGAUUGACGUAAUGAUUAAUAGGGGUAGUUGGGGGCAUUAGUAUUCAAUUGUCAGAGGUGAAAUUCUUGGAUUUAUUGAAGACUAACUACUGCGAAAGCAUUUGCCAAGGAUGUUUUCAUUAAUCAAGAACGAAAGUUAGGGGAUCGAAGACGAUCAGAUACCGUCGUAGUCUUAACCAUAAACUAUGCCGACUAGGGAUCGGAUGAUGUUAAUUUUUUAAUGUACUCAUUCGGCGUCCG
This 520-nucleotide ribosomal RNA is filed under the name uncultured Glomus. RNAcentral describes it as "SSU rRNA". It matches the Rfam family "Eukaryotic small subunit ribosomal RNA", at positions 569 to 1089 of the family's 1831-position model. The record is from RNAcentral. Lineage: Eukaryota; Fungi; Glomeromycota; Glomeromycetes; Glomerales; Glomeraceae.